Molecule: long non-coding RNA, 727 nt
Organism: Nannospalax galili (Upper Galilee mountains blind mole rat)
Lineage: Eukaryota; Metazoa; Chordata; Mammalia; Rodentia; Spalacidae
Exons: 3
Source: RefSeq, a predicted model, not a curated record
UCCAGCUUGAACUCCACUGGAUUGAUUGAAAUCCUAUAAACUGUGGAAGUGGAGGAAGAAAAGAAUCACUGUAAACAAAAUACUUGUGAUCAAAUCUGGAACACAUCUCUGAUACAUAAGAAACAUCAUCAUUGCUUGAUGGGGAUCACUGAGUGUAAGCCAAGGUGUGAAGGAGCUGUUCCUGUUACAAAGAACUUCAUGGCAGAAACUACCCCAAACUGAAAAGGUUAUAUUCAUAAACCUUCCAUCCCCUGUAACGUCUCCAAUGUUUCUGGGUGGACUUUAGGUAAUUAAAAUGGUCUUUUCUUCUUGACCCAUCUCUGGCUGAGGGUCAGAUUGAUAGGAGUUCACAGGCGAAACGUGAGUACAGUGAAGGACAGUAUUGUUCAAAAUGGCAUUUCAAAGUGAAAGAAAACAGAUACAUCAAACGUCACCUCAUCUAGGCCAGGGGAGGAUGUAUAAACACUCGGAGUGCUUUGCCCCACCUGGUUUUAACAAGAAAAAUGUAAUAAGUGUUCAAAUUCCCAUUACAAGGUUGUCAGAGCAAAAUUAGUACAUGAUACGCUCCAAGAUGUGGAUUGUUCAGAAUUUACCGACGCGUGAAAUCAGAAUUAGGCAAAAUGCUUGCAUCAGGUAGAAAGUCAGCAAGGAUUCAUCGCAACUACUGAAGUGUCAACAAAAAUAGAAUCAUUUUUAGCAACUUUUCUCCUAAGUGAAGAAUCCAGGG